Molecule: long non-coding RNA, 1325 nt
Organism: Anolis carolinensis (green anole)
Lineage: Eukaryota; Metazoa; Chordata; Lepidosauria; Squamata; Anolidae
Exons: 3
Source: RefSeq, a predicted model, not a curated record
UGAACUCUUUUUUCAGUUCCAAAGAGUAAGGUGUUAAUAAAUAUUUUCUGAACCAUGAUCUAAAUCCAGUUGUGAAGUCUGACUAGAGAAGACUGUUUCAAUUCAUUUUCACUUCUGCAGAGAUGGGAUUUACUUCUUUCUUCCCUUUAAAGAUAACGGAAGACCAUGUUACUUGAGAUGCAAGAAUACCUGCACUAAAAAUGAAUAUGAGGUUGCAAGGGCAUAUUGUUCUAACAAUCAAAUGGUUUGGUGCUGCGGAGUAAAAGAUGGUAUGGGCCCAAGUAAUGAGGAAAACCCGUGUCCAAUGAGAUGCAAGACUUACUGCCCUAUAGAGGACGAUAAGACUCCACAGGCAAUGUGCCCUAAUGAUGAAAUGGUUUGGUGCUGCAAAGGAAAAGGAGAUGUGCCGCCUGAUAUGUGAGCAAUUCCUUUGCAAAAGACAGAUGCUUCUUCAGCAGCAAGUUGCAGCAUAUGUGAGCAGUGAUUCAGAAGAAGCUGCCCAAAAGCCCUCAAUGAAUUAAAUAUCUUAUAACAAUGCUGUGAUAUCCUGCUGUUAAUAAAACCAAACAUGUUGGCCCUAACUUCCAUGAAUUGGUAUCCAUCACUGCAUCCUGUGACAGUAAACUCUACAGUUUAUAUCCUAUGUGAAGAAGUACUUCAUUUUAUCUGUCCUGAAUAGAGAUGUAAAUCUUUGAAUAUUUGGCACUUGUACACAAGGCUGAAUAGUUUUCCUCACACCACUCAAUAUUUGUGCAAGUGUGUCUUUCAGUUAAUCCAAGGUCCUACGCUCAUACAUCUGCAAAACGUGUAACUCGACAUUCCUCCUGCUCCUCCAUUAAAAAAUUAUUUGUGCAAUUUCAGCUAAGGUUGCUUACAAAAUUGCAAAUAAAAUUUGAAAUCAAACAAGAGGAGAGGAGGAGAAUCCUGCUUCAAUGUCCUUUCAGUGUCAGGAUGAUGAUUUAUUUAUUUCGUGUCAAAGGCACUGCAUAUUAAAUAAGUUUAAAAGUGAUAAAAUAAAGGAAUCACAAACAGCUAAAUAGUUUUGGACCAAAAGCGGGCAACAGCAAUCGCAUUGUCCGUAGCUUUAAACAACUCCUCCUCCGUGCAUGAGGCAGGGCAUUGUGGGCAGGCAUACAUAUGCGGAGUUGUUUGUUCUGCUCCAUAGUCACACAAGGUGGAAGAUUCCUCCAGGUAGUGCCAUCUUGCCAGGUUGUCUUUUGAUCUGCCCACUCUGCUUCUCAGUCUAUUUAGGGACCUCCAAGUUGCCCAUUUUUGGUUUGCCCCUGGAGGCAGACCCUCAUGAGGGGCCAUCCAGUUAGAUUUGC